GAUGAACGCUGGCGGCGUGCCUAACACAUGCAAGUCGAACGAAGCACCUUACCUGAUUCUUCGGAUGAAAGUUUGGUGACUGAGUGGCGGACGGGUGAGUAACGCGUGGGUAACCUGCCCUGUACAGGGGGAUAACAGCUGGAAACGGCUGCUAAUACCGCAUAAGCGCACGAGGAGACAUCUCCUUGUGUGAAAAACUCCGGUGGUACAGGAUGGGCCCGCGUCUGAUUAGCUGGUUGGCAGGGUAACGGCCUACCAAGGCAACGAUCAGUAGCCGGUCUGAGAGGAUGAACGGCCACAUUGGAACUGAGACACGGUCCAAACUCCCACGGGAGGCAGCAGUGGGGAAUAUUGCACAAUGGGGGAAACCCUGAUGCAGCAACGCCGCGUGAGUGAAGAAGUAUUUCGGUAUGUAAAGCUCUAUCAGCAGGGAAGAUAAUGACGGUACCUGACUAAGAAGCUCCGGCUAAAUACGUG
This 477-nucleotide ribosomal RNA is filed under the name uncultured bacterium. Its description in RNAcentral is "partial 16S ribosomal RNA". It matches the Rfam family "Bacterial small subunit ribosomal RNA", at positions 28 to 507 of the family's 1533-position model. The record is from RNAcentral.